AUCACUCCACUUGCUUGCAGGAGAAGUAUUGAAUGGUUAAAAAGCUAUGGAUUCCUGGAGAGUUGAAUUCCAAAAUAGUGGAGAUUCAAGCUCAAAUUCAAGAGAAUUUUUCAGGCUUAUCCUUUGAGAAUUGAGGGUUUGAAGUGGGGGAUCAAAGUUGGCGUGAUUGUGUAUUCAUUUUUGAGUAAUUGAAGCUCUAUUUAUAGCUGGAAUGGUUGAUAAUUGCACACUCUCUUUCACUUUCUAAUUUUGGCAAAUGGUGAUGUAAUGGUGCG
This 275-nucleotide long non-coding RNA is filed under the name Lathyrus oleraceus (garden pea). RNAcentral describes it as "Pisum sativum (pea) long non-coding RNA (PSAT_LNC017548)". The record is from RNAcentral. Lineage: Eukaryota; Viridiplantae; Streptophyta; Magnoliopsida; Fabales; Fabaceae.